Myotis davidii is the source of this 456-nucleotide long non-coding RNA. RefSeq lists it as uncharacterized. The record is from RefSeq and is a predicted model, not a curated record. The transcript has 2 exons. Lineage: Eukaryota; Metazoa; Chordata; Mammalia; Chiroptera; Vespertilionidae.
AUUGGGCUGUACGAUCCCCUCCGACAUGGUAUAGUUCCUGCUCAGGUCAAAAUUUGAUUUCUUUGGACCCAAAGAAGCAUCGCAAAAAUCACUGAGCAGCACCAGGAGGAAUACGCUCGUCAUAAUACUUUUCAGGAACACAUACUUACCAAGCAAUUUCUACGUGUCAGACACUCAAGAAAUAAAGAGACCUGUCCGCACGGAGCCUGCUUUCUAGUGUGUGGGAGCAGAGGUAACAGAUCAGCUAUUCGUAAAUAUAAACAUAGAGAGAAGAGGCCCACUUCUGCGUAACAGACUCCCCUUUUCGCGCUCGCCACAUCAGAGGUGGCGUUUUAAUGAUGCUGAUGGAUGCUGAAGCAGACAUUCUCCACCGUCUGACAGCACGGCAUUCUUCAAAUAGCUGCAAGAGUAAAAAGUGCUUUGAGGGUUUUCUUUCAAAUAAAUUUUGUAAUGUAA